This 460-nucleotide ribosomal RNA is filed under the name uncultured bacterium. Its description in RNAcentral is "bacterial SSU rRNA". It matches the Rfam family "Bacterial small subunit ribosomal RNA", at positions 29 to 506 of the family's 1533-position model. The record is from RNAcentral.
ACGAACGCUGGCGGCGUGCUUAACACAUGCAAGUCGAGCGGAAAGGCCCUUCGGGGUACUCGAGUGGUGAACGGGUGAGUAACACGUGGGUGAUCUGCCCUGCACUUCGGGAUAAGCCUGGGAAACUGGGUCUAAUACCGGAUAUGACCUUGGGAUGCAUGUCCUUUGGUGGAAAGCUUUUGCGGUGUGGGAUGGGCCCGCGGCCUAUCAGCUUGUUGGUGGGGUUAAGGCCUACCAAGGCGACGACGGGUAGCCGGCCUGGGAGGGUGACCGGCCACACUGGGACUGAGAUACGGCCCAGACUCCUACGGGAGGCAGCAGUGGGGAAUAUUGCACAAUGGGCGCAAGCCUGAUGCAGCGACGCCGCGUGAGGGACGACGGCCUUCGGGUUGUAAACCUCUUUCAGCACAGACGAAGCGCGAGUGACGGUAUGUGCAGAAGAAGGACCGGCCAACUACGU